CAGAAGUGCGAAUGCUGACAUAAGUAACGAUAAAGCGGGUGAAAAGCCCGCUCGCCGGAAGACCAAGGGUUCCUGUCCAACGUUAAUCGGGGCAGGGUGAGUCGACCCCUAAGGCGAGGCCGAAAGGCGUAGUCGAUGGGAAACGGGUUAAUAUUCCCGUACUUGGUGUUACUGCGAAGGGGGGACGGAGAAGGCUAUGUUGGCCGGGCGACGGUUGUCCCGGUUUAAGCGUGUAGGUGUGUGUUCCAGGUAAAUCCGGUUCACUUUAACACUGAGGCGUGAUGACGAGGCACUACGGUGCUGAAGCAACAAAUGCCCUGCUUCCAGGAAAAGCCUCUAAGCAUCAGGUAACAUCAAAUCGUACCCCAAACCGACACAGGUGGUCAGGUAGAGAAUACCAAGGCGCUUGAGAGAACUCGGGUGAAGGAACUAGGCAAAAUGGUGCCGUAACUUCGGGAGAAGGCACGCUGACAC
This 474-nucleotide ribosomal RNA is filed under the name Salmonella enterica subsp. enterica serovar Kentucky. RNAcentral's name for it is "partial 23S ribosomal RNA". It matches the Rfam family "Bacterial large subunit ribosomal RNA", at positions 1283 to 1757 of the family's 2925-position model. The record is from RNAcentral. Lineage: Bacteria; Pseudomonadati; Pseudomonadota; Gammaproteobacteria; Enterobacterales; Enterobacteriaceae.